This 2186-nucleotide ribosomal RNA is filed under the name Auchmeromyia luteola. RNAcentral's name for it is "eukaryotic LSU rRNA". It matches the Rfam family "Eukaryotic large subunit ribosomal RNA", at positions 28 to 1912 of the family's 3401-position model. Lineage: Eukaryota; Metazoa; Arthropoda; Insecta; Diptera; Calliphoridae. The record is from RNAcentral.
CUGAAUUUAAGCAUAUUAAUGAGGGGAGGAAAAGAAACUAACAAGGAUUUUCUUAGUAGCGGCGAGCGAAAAGAAAAUAGUUCAGCACUAAGUCACUUUGUCUUUAUGGCAAAUGUGAGAUGCAGUGUAUGGAAUGUCAAAUUUCUAGUAUGAGAAAUUAACGAUUUAAGUCCUUCUUAAAUGAGGCCAUUUACCCAAAGAGGGUGCCAGGCCCGUAUAACGUUAAUGAUUACUAGAUGGCAUUUCCAAAGAGUCGUGUUGCUUGAUAGUGCAGCACUAAGUGGGUGGUAAACUCCAUCUAAAACUAAAUAUAACCAUGAGACCGAUAGUAAACAAGUACCGUGAGGGAAAGUUGAAAAGAACUCUGAAUAGAGAGUUAAAUAGUACGUGAAACUGCUUAGAGGUUAAGCCCGAUGAACCUGAAUAUCCGUUAUGGAAAAUUCAUCAUUAUGAUUGUAAUAUUAAUAAUAUUAAAAUAAUGGUGUGCAUUUUUUCUAUAAAGGACAUUGUAAUCUAUUAACAUAAAAAUAUUUAUCACAAGAUCGUUGGCUUAAGUUUAUUCGAAUUAUUUUGCUUGCAAUUUAAUACAGAAUAAAUGCUUUCGAUUUGAUAAAGUGUUGAUAGAUUUAUUAUAAUAUAGUGCUUAAAUAUUUAUAUUUUAUAAUAGCAUAUUAAUCAUUGAUUUUUAUGUUUAUUAUAUGCACUUAUAUGAUUAACAAUGCGAAAGAUUCAGGAUACCUUCGGGACCCGUCUUGAAACACGGACCAAGGAGUCUAACAUAUUUGCAAGUUAUUGGGAAUGAAAACCUAAUAGCGAAAUUAACAUAACUUUAAUUAUGGGAUUAGUUUUUAGCCUAUUUAUAGUCUAUUAAUUCAAUCCCGGGGCGUUCUAUACAGUUAUGUAUAAUAAUAUUUAUAUUAUUUAUACCUCUAACUAGAGCGUACCUUGAGCAUAUAUGCUGUGACCCGAAAGAUGGUGAACUAUACUUGAUCAGGUUGAAGUCAGGGGAAACCCUGAUGGAAGACCGAAACAGUUCUGACGUGCAAAUCGAUUGUCAGAAUUGAGUAUAGGGGCGAAAGACCAAUCGAACCAUCUAGUAGCUGGUUCCCUCCGAAGUUUCCCUCAGGAUAGCUGGUGCAUUUAAAAAUUAUGUAAAAUAAUCUUAUCUGGUAAAGCGAAUGAUUAGAGGCCUUAGGGUCGAAACGACCUUAACCUAUUCUCAAACUUUAAAUGGGUAAGAACCUCACCUUUCUUGGUAUGAAGGUUGUGGUUGUGAUAUAAUGUGCCCAGUGGGCCACUUUUGGUAAGCAGAACUGGCGCUGUGGGAUGAACCAAACGUAAUGUUACGGUGCCCAAAUUAACAACUCAUGCAGAUACCAUGAAAGGCGUUGGUUGCUUAAAACAGCAGGACGGUGGACAUGGAAGUCGUAAUCCGCUAAGGAGUGUGUAACAACUCACCUGCCGAAGCAACUAGCCCUUAAAAUGGAUGGCGCUUAAGUUGUAUACCUAUACAUUACCGCUAAAGUAGAUGGUUUAUGUUCAAUCUCGGUUGGAUUAUAAACUUUGAAACUUUAGUGAGUAGGAGGGUAUAAUGGUGAGCAUAGAAGUGUUUGGCGUAAGCCUGCAUGGAGCUGCCAUUGGUACAGAUCUUGGUGGUAGUAGCAAAUAAUCGAAUGAGACCUUGGAGGACUGAAGUGGAGAAGGGUUUCGUGUGAACAGUGGUUGAUCACGAGUUAGUCGGUCCUAAGUUCAAGGCGAAAGCCGAAAAUUUUCAAGUAAUAAUGAAAAGGAACUGUAAAAAGUUGACUUAGUAGUUUACCACUUGAAUAAUUUUGAACGAAAGGGAAUACGGUUCCAAUUCCGUAACCUGUUGAGUAUCCGUUUGUUAUUAAAUAUGGGCCUUGUGCUCAUCCUGGCAACAGGAACGACCAUAAAGAAGCCGUCGAGAGAUAUCGGAAGAGUUUUCUUUUCUGUUUUAUAGUCGUACUACCAUGGAAGUCUUUCGAAGAGAGAUAUGGUAGAUGGACUAGAAGAGCAUGACAUUUACUGUUGUGUCGAUAUUUUCUCCUCGGACCUUGAAAAUUUAUGGUGGGGUCACGCAAACUUCUCAACAGGCCGUACCAAUAUCCGCAGCUGGUCUCCAAGGUGAAGAGUCUCUAGUCGAUAGAAUAAUGUAGGUAAGGGGA